This 51-nucleotide non-coding RNA is filed under the name Schistosoma mansoni. Lineage: Eukaryota; Metazoa; Platyhelminthes; Trematoda; Strigeidida; Schistosomatidae. The record is from RNAcentral.
AUCCAACUGACGAGUCCCAAAUAGGACGAAGCGGCACGCGUCAAACUAGAU